AGCAGUAGCCACGGGAAUACGGAGGGUGCAAGCGUUAUCCGGAUUUAUUGGGUUUAAAGGGUCCGUAGGCGGAUCUGUAAGUCAGUGGUGAAAUCUCACAGCUUAACUGUGAAACUGCCAUUGAUACUGCAGGUCUUGAGUAAAUUUGAAGUGGCUGGAAUAAGUAGUGUAGCGGUGAAAUGCAUAGAUAUUACUUAGAACACCAAUUGCGAAGGCAGGUCACUAAGAUUUAACUGACGCUGAUGGACGAAAGCGUGGGGAGCGAACAGGAUUAGAUACCCCAGUAGUCCCUGUCUCUUAUAA
RNAcentral lists this ribosomal RNA (303 nucleotides) under uncultured bacterium. Its description in RNAcentral is "partial 16S ribosomal RNA". It matches the Rfam family "Bacterial small subunit ribosomal RNA", at positions 507 to 809 of the family's 1533-position model. The record is from RNAcentral.